This is a long non-coding RNA of Medicago truncatula (barrel medic), 448 nucleotides long. RefSeq lists it as uncharacterized. Lineage: Eukaryota; Viridiplantae; Streptophyta; Magnoliopsida; Fabales; Fabaceae. The transcript has 2 exons. The record is from RefSeq and is a predicted model, not a curated record.
CAUUUCACAAAAAUAUAAGAGGUAGAGAGAGAAAGUGAAUCCAGAGGAUAUAAGAGGAGUUAGAGAAAGAGAGCUUGGGGUUUGAAGAGCUAAGAGUUAAAUGGAAGCCAAAGUUAGGAUUCUUCAAGACUAGAGGUUUUAGCUUUAUAAAAUGGGUAUUGUUUCUUCAAAACCGGAUUUGCAUAUGUUUUGGAGAUAGAAGAGGGUAUUGCUGAAAGGUCACCUCUUAUAUGAACACACAAUUGUCUUUAUAAUAUGAUAAUAAUCGCUCAUUUUCUCUUCUUUUGCAAUUUGAUGAGUUUUUAUAUUAGUCACACAUUUUUUAUCUUACAAGUCAUUCCACUAAAAUUAUAUCUAUAAUCUCUCAAUCUCAUCACUUACUCUUGAACUAGGUGAAAAAUAUUGUUUGUAUGCUUUCUUCUUUUGGUACAUGUAACUUAUUUAAUUU